This 600-nucleotide ribosomal RNA is filed under the name uncultured bacterium. Its description in RNAcentral is "bacterial SSU rRNA". It matches the Rfam family "Bacterial small subunit ribosomal RNA", at positions 224 to 863 of the family's 1533-position model. The record is from RNAcentral.
GAUGAGCCCGCGUCGGAUUAGCUAGUUGGUGAGGUAAUGGCUCACCAAGGCGACGAUCCGUACUGGUCUGAGAGGACGAUCAGCCACACUGGGACUGAGACACGGCCAACUCCUACGGGAGGCAGCAGUGGGGAAUAUUGCACAAUGGGCGAAAGCCUGAUGCAGCAAUGCCGCGUGUGUGAAGAAGGCCUGCGGGUUGUAAAGCACUUUCGGUAGGGAAGAUUAUGACGGUACCUACAGAAAAGCACCGGUAACUCCGUGCCAGCAGCCGCGGUGAUACGGAGGGUGCAAGCGUUAAUCGGAAUUACUGGCGUAAAGCGCACGCAGGCGGUCUGUCAAGUCGGAUGUGAAAUCCCCGGGCUCAACCUGGGAACUGCAUUCGAAACUGGCAGGCUAAGUUCUGUACAGGGGGGUAAAUUCCAGGUGUACGGUUGAAAUGCGUCAAGAUCUGGAGGAACUUACCGGGUGGCGAAAGGCUGGCCACCCCUGGGACAAAGGAUUGAACGCUUCAAGGUGCGAAUGGCCUGGGGGAACCAAACCAGGAAUUUAGAUACCCCCUUGGGGUUUCAAGUUCCNACAGGACCCGUGUAAAAACGGGAA